This is a long non-coding RNA of Hippoglossus stenolepis (Pacific halibut), 904 nucleotides long. RefSeq lists it as uncharacterized. Lineage: Eukaryota; Metazoa; Chordata; Actinopteri; Pleuronectiformes; Pleuronectidae. The record is from RefSeq and is a predicted model, not a curated record. The transcript is spliced from 10 exons.
GCGCCUCAACAUGAGUCUCUCUCUUUCCUUCCUCCAUCUUCUCCUCAGAUGUGUCGCAGCUCUGCGGGUUUAAUCUGAACUGUUCCACAGAGUCCAGUAAAUCCAAGUUUACUUUAGUGUCCGAGCAAAGAACACGUGGUUGUAAGUGUAGUUUUUAUUCUCCGUAGAAACUGGAGAUCAGUUUAUUUCCCGCCAGGCCUCAGGCGGCCACGUGGAGAGGACGACACGAUGGAGACGAGGGAAAAGAUGUUGAAGUCCCGGUGGCCGCUCCCAGUGAGAGUUGAACAUCCCUCAUGAUGAAUCACCAUGAUGUCUCCAGUAGGAGAUCAGAAUGUGCCUCUUCAAGAUCCUGGAAUCUGAAGCUAAAAGCCGUGAAGCAGGACGAUGCUCCUGCUGUUUGCUGCACUGGGUUUGGUUGGUGUUGUGAAAGAUUCCCUGGAAAGAGAUUCACCCAAAGGUCCAUCUGCUCAAUCACCUUGAGAUCUUUUGUCGUCCCCUUGACCCGAUCCUGACGUCUGCCAUGCAGUGAAUUUGACAGGUUUAGUUGGUGUCCUGAAAGAUUCCCUGGAAAGGGAUCCAGCCGAAGGUGUGGAUCUGCAGCAUCACAUUGAGAUCUUUAGUCGUCUCCUCGGCCUGAUCCUGAUGUCUGCCAUGCAGUGAAUUUGACAGGUUUAGUUGGUGUCCUGAAAGAUUCCCUGGAAAGGAAUUAAUCCGAAGUUGUGGAUCUGCAGCAUCACCUUGAGAGCUCUAGUCAUCUCCUCUGCCUGAUCCUGAUGUCUGCCAUGCAGUGAAUUUGACAGAUCACAGGAAUCAUGGAAACUUGUCUGAAGAUGGACGUCAUCAUAUUUGUUCAAAAGUAUUUCACUGUUUUAAAAAGUGCUUUUAUUAAAAACUUGUAUCAAAA